UACGGGGGGGGCAAGCGUUGUUCGGAAUUACUGGGCGUAAAGGGCUCGUAGGAGGCCAACUAAGUCAGACGUGAAAUCCCUCGGCUUAACCGGGGAACUGCGUCUGAUACUGGAUGGCUUGAGAUUGGGAGAGGGAUGCGGAAUUCCAGGUGUAGCGGUGAAAUGCGUAGAUAUGUGGAGGAACACCAGUGGCGAAGGCGGCUCUUUGGUCUGUAACUGACGCUGAGGCGCGAAAGCGUGGGGAGCAAACAGG
This 253-nucleotide ribosomal RNA is filed under the name uncultured bacterium. RNAcentral's name for it is "partial 16S ribosomal RNA". It matches the Rfam family "Bacterial small subunit ribosomal RNA", at positions 524 to 776 of the family's 1533-position model. The record is from RNAcentral.